GUGUUUUACUAAAUAUGGGUGUAAGAUUUGAAGACAAAACCUGGACUAAAGCUAGCAACUUGUUAACCAUUAAGCUAAAGGGCGGUUAUGAUAGAAUGUCAAUGUGCUAAAAAAAUCUUAUAUCAGUUCGGUUAGGUUUUUUCAAUUUUUCUCUACAAAAGCCAAACCGACCAAUAUAACUGAAAAUUUUAUAAUUUAAAACCGAACCAAAUAAAAUAAAACUGAACCAAGAAAACCAAAAUCAAUCGGUUCGGUCUAUUUUUUAUGUUUGAACCAAAUUUUGCUCACCCCAAGCUAUUGCUAUGGUUGGAUUAAGUCUUUUUUCUUUUAAUGAGUUUGUUGAUAUUGAUAUGAGAUUGAAGAAGUAAUUUGAGUUGGACGAGGGACAGAGAGAGACGUGAAAUAAUAGAGAGAGGUAAGUAAGGAGGGAGGGAGAGAGAGGGGAAAGGGCAUUAUAGGAAUAAAAAGAUCUUAUCUCUCAUUUGACUUUCUCGACUAGGAGAAUAAAGCUAAGAAAUAUGGACAAAAUGAUUAUUUAAUUGAUAGAAUCAAACAUCAAGGAAGCAAUAAUGUAAUUUCCAAAAAUACAGGAACUAUUUCGUAAAUUAAUAAUGCCAAUACCCAAAAACUAAAUAAUAAUUCUCCUAAAAAUUGCGAGUAUAGCUGAUCAUGUGCAAUUCAACAAAAACAUGAUCAAUGAACUUAAAAUCUUCAUUACUAUGUUAUUUGAGGUUUAUCAUCAGUUGCUUCUUAUUGAUACAAACAAGAAUAGCAAUAUUACAAUUAUGGUCAAACUUAGAGGCGUCAACCUAUUACCGCCUAAAGAAUAUAAUCAGAUCUCGCUUGAAUUCACUCUAAAUCCAAGACAAUUCAAAACCAAAAUAACAUCAAAUUUUUAAGGUUGGACAAAUCAUAGGUGAUCCAUUCGAGCAAACCAAAAAAAAAUAAAAAUCCUUGAAAGUUUUCAAUAUUUGAAGCACUAGCCUACUAGACAUAAUAUUGACAACCAUACAAGUUCUCUCUCCUCUAUACCAUCUUUGAACAGUUAUUUUAUUUAAACAAAUAAUUCUUUACUUCAUAUAUAGCACAGAAAAUAUUCUUACUGCACUUAAAUCACUUAAAUCACCCACAAAUAUAUAAAAGUAGCUCUGGAAAUUACAAGUACAUUACAAAUUAUAAAGUUAUAAAACAGAGUAUUUAAGAUUUUAUCUUCAUUUUAUUUGACCUUUGAAAAAUAUAAAGGUGUAUUCUUAUGACAAUUGUAAAUCCAUUUUUAUCAUACUUAUUUUGCAUUACUACUAAAUUAUUAAUUGAAA
RNAcentral lists this unclassified non-coding RNA (1316 nucleotides) under Hevea brasiliensis (rubber tree). The record is from RNAcentral. Lineage: Eukaryota; Viridiplantae; Streptophyta; Magnoliopsida; Malpighiales; Euphorbiaceae.